Molecule: ribosomal RNA, 481 nt
Filed under: uncultured bacterium
Lineage: Bacteria
Description: bacterial SSU rRNA
Rfam family: Bacterial small subunit ribosomal RNA
Source: RNAcentral
CUACGUGCCAGCAGCCGCGGUAAUACGGAAGGUCCGGGCGUUAUCCGGAUUUAUUGGGUUUAAAGGGAGCGUAGGCCGGAGAUUAAGUGUGUUGUGAAAUGUAGACGCUCAACGUCUGACUUGCAGCGCAUACUGGUUUCCUUGAGUACGCACAACGUUGGCGGAAUUCGUCGUGUAGCGGUGAAAUGCUUAGAUAUGACGAAGAACUCCGAUUGCGAAGGCAGCUGACGGGAGCGCAACUGACGCUUAAGCUCGAAGGUGCGGGUAUCGAACAGGAUUAGAUACCCUGGUAGUCCGCACAGUAAACGAUGGAUGCCCGCUGUUGGUACCUGGUAUCAGCGGCUAAGCGAAAGCAUUAAGCAUCCCACCUGGGGAGUACGCCGGCAACGGUGAAACUCAAAGGAAUUGACGGGGGCCCGCACAAGCGGAGGAACAUGUGGUUUAAUUCGAUGAUACGCGAGGAACCUUACCCGGACUUGAA